RNAcentral lists this ribosomal RNA (253 nucleotides) under uncultured bacterium. RNAcentral describes it as "partial 16S ribosomal RNA". It matches the Rfam family "Bacterial small subunit ribosomal RNA", at positions 524 to 776 of the family's 1533-position model. The record is from RNAcentral.
UACGGGGGGGGCAAGUGUUCUUCGGAAUGACUGGGCGUAAAGGGCUCGUAGGCGGCCUGUUGCGUCCGCUGUGAAAGCCCGGGGCUUAACCCCGGGUCGGCAGUGGAUACGGGCAGGCUAGAGGUAGGUAGGGGAGAAUGGAAUUCCCGGUGUAGCGGUGAAAUGCGCAGAUAUCGGGAGGAACACCGGUGGCGAAGGCGGUUCUCUGGGCCUUACCUGACGCUGAGGAGCGAAAGCGUGGGGAGCGAACAGG